Molecule: non-coding RNA, 46 nt
Organism: Equus caballus (horse)
Lineage: Eukaryota; Metazoa; Chordata; Mammalia; Perissodactyla; Equidae
Source: Rfam
CCAAAGGCCUUGUUCAAGGCCCCUUCCAGCUUUAGAAAAUAUUUCU